GACGAACGCUGGCGGCGUGCUUAACACAUGCAGGUCGAACGGAAAGGCCCUGCUUUUGUGGGGUGCUCGAGUGGCGAACGGGUGAGUAACACGUGAGUAACCUGCCCUUGACUUUGGGAUAACUUCAGGAAACUGGGGCUAAUAUCGGAUAGGAGCUCCUGCUGCAUGGUGGGGGUUGGAAAGUUUCGGCGGUUGGGGAUGGACUCGCGGCUUAUCAGCUUGUUGGUGGGGUAGUGGCUUACCAAGGCUUUGACGGGUAGCCGGCCUGAGAGGGUGACCGGCCACAUUGGGACUGAGAUACGGCCCAGACUCCUACGGGAGGCAGCAGUGGGGAAUAUUGCACAAUGGGCGGAAGCCUGAUGCAGCAACGCCGCGUGCGGGAUGACGGCCUUCGGGUUGUAAACCGCUUUCGCCUGUGACGAAGCGUGAGUGACGGUAAUGGGUAAAGAAGCACCGGCUAACUACGUG
This 468-nucleotide ribosomal RNA is filed under the name uncultured bacterium. RNAcentral describes it as "partial 16S ribosomal RNA". It matches the Rfam family "Bacterial small subunit ribosomal RNA", at positions 28 to 507 of the family's 1533-position model. The record is from RNAcentral.